RNAcentral lists this non-coding RNA (109 nucleotides) under Bacillus sp. (in: firmicutes). Its description in RNAcentral is "Bacillus sp. TPP sequence". It matches the Rfam family "TPP riboswitch aptamer (THI element)". From Rfam's summary of the family: Vitamin B(1) in its active form thiamin pyrophosphate (TPP) is an essential coenzyme that is synthesised by coupling of pyrimidine and thiazole moieties in bacteria. The previously detected thiamin-regulatory element, thi box was extended, resulting in a new, highly conserved RNA secondary structure, the THI element, which is widely distributed in eubacteria and also occurs in some archaea. Analysis of operon structures identified a large number of new candidate thiamin-regulated genes, mostly transporters, in various prokaryotic organisms. Lineage: Bacteria; Bacillati; Bacillota; Bacilli; Caryophanales; Bacillaceae. RNAcentral also lists the same sequence under 1 other name. The record is from RNAcentral.
CAUUGCCACUAGGGGAGCCCAUAACGUGGGGCUGAGACCGGAGUAUGCUCCGGGACCCUUGGAACCUGAUCUGGUUUGAACCAGCGGAGGGAAGUGGGAGAUUCUUAAU